GUGCUUGCUGUGUCAGCACAUAUACUUAAAUUGGAAAGAUACAGGAAAGAUUAUCCUAGCCCUGUGCAAAGAUGACCUGCAAAUUUAUGAAGUGUUCCAUAUUUGU
Molecule: small nuclear RNA, 106 nt
Organism: Otolemur garnettii (small-eared galago)
Lineage: Eukaryota; Metazoa; Chordata; Mammalia; Primates; Galagidae
Source: Ensembl